CCAGCACGGGGAGGUAGUGACGAAAAAUAACAAUACAAGACUCACAUCCGAGGCCUUGUAAUUGGAAUGAGUACACUUUAAAUCCUUUAACAAGGAUCAAUUGGAGGGCAAGUCUGGUGCCAGCAGCCGCGGUAAUUCCAGCUCCAAUAGCGUAUAUUAAAGUUGUUGCGGUUAAAACGUUCGUAGUUGAACUUGUGUUUCGCACGGGCAGUACCUAGGACUAGGCAACUAGGACGGUACCUUGUCUUACUUUUCAAUUUAUUGAAAAAAGUGCGUGAACGUAUUAUCGGCGUGUUCGUUCUUGUAACGUUCACAUAAGCUCAUUUCAGUGCUCUUUAUCGAGUGUUGUUGUGGGCCGAUACAAAUUACUUUGAACAAAUUAGAGUGCUUAAAGCAGGCUUGUAAUGCCUGAAUAUUUUGUGCAUGGAAUAAUGAAAUAGGACAUCUGUUCUACUUUCAUUGGUUUUUUAGACCAAGAUGUAAUGAUUAAUGGAAGCAGUUGGGGGCAUUAGUAUUACAACGCGAGAGGUGAAAUUCUUAGACCGUUGUAAGACUGACUAAAGCGAAAGCAUUUGCCAAAGAUGUUUUCAUUUAAUCAAGAACGAAAGUUAGAGGUUCGAAGGCGAUCAGAUACCGCCCUAGUUCUAACCAUAAACGAUGCCAGCUAGCAAUUGAGUGUAGCUACUACUAUGGCUCUUUCAGUCGCUUCUCGGGAAACCAAAGCUUUUGGGCUCCGGGGGAAGUAUGGUUGCAAAGCUGAAACUUAAAGGAAUUGACGGAAGGGCACCACCAGGAGUGGAGCCUGCGGCUUAAUUUGACUCAACACGGGAAAACUUACCAGGUCCGAACAUAAAUGAGUAAGACAGAUUGAUAGCUCUUUCUCGAAUCUAUGGGUGGUGGUGCA
This 904-nucleotide ribosomal RNA is filed under the name Neoplatyura flava. RNAcentral describes it as "SSU rRNA". It matches the Rfam family "Eukaryotic small subunit ribosomal RNA", at positions 451 to 1284 of the family's 1831-position model. The record is from RNAcentral. Lineage: Eukaryota; Metazoa; Arthropoda; Insecta; Diptera; Keroplatidae.